UACAGAGGGUGCAAGCGUUAUUCGGAAUCAUUGGGCGUAAAGGGCGUGUAGGCGGUUCGUUAAGUCUGAUGUGAAAUCCCUGGACUCAAUUCAGGAAGUGCAUCGGAUACUGGCGGACUGGAGCGCGGGAGAGGGGAACGGAAUUCCAGGUGUAGAGGUGAAAUUCGUAGAUAUCUGGAGGAACAACAGUGGCGAAGGCGGUUCCCUGGACUGUUGCUGACGCUGAGGCGCGAAAGCGUGGGGAG
Molecule: ribosomal RNA, 245 nt
Filed under: uncultured bacterium
Lineage: Bacteria
Description: partial 16S ribosomal RNA
Rfam family: Bacterial small subunit ribosomal RNA
Source: RNAcentral